CACGUAGGGCGCAAGCGUUGUCCGGAAUUACUGGGCGUAAAGGGCUCGUAGGCGGCCAACUAAGUCAGACGUGAAAUCCCUCAGCUUAACUGGGGAACUGCGUCUGAUACUGGAUGGCUUGGAUUCGGGAGAGGAAUGCGGAAUUCCAGGUGUAGCGGUGAAAUGCGUAGAUAUCUGGAGGAACACCGGUGGCGAAGGCGGCAUUCUGGACCGAUAUUGACGCUGAGGAGCGAAAGCCAGGGGAGCAAACGGG
RNAcentral lists this ribosomal RNA (253 nucleotides) under uncultured bacterium. Its description in RNAcentral is "partial 16S ribosomal RNA". It matches the Rfam family "Bacterial small subunit ribosomal RNA", at positions 524 to 776 of the family's 1533-position model. The record is from RNAcentral.